UAAAAAACAACAACAACAACUAAGAAUGGGUGUGACAGGGCAUACUCUCCCUACCCUGACCUGGAGCUGUUUAAUUCAGCCCUAAUGGCCACACCCCCUUUACCUUACUGGGCAUGCUUGAGCUGCACUGCUAUAAAAGAGAGCAGCUCAGCUCAUUUGGAGCUGGCAGACAGAGGGAGAGGAUGUGCCUGGCUAGCUCCCUGCAAACCCUAGCGACUGCCCAACUGCUGAGAUGCUACCACAAAGGCAUCUAGAGACUGCACAGGUUCCAGAAGCAAGUGGAAGUAGCCAGAUCCCAGAAAAAGGAGGAGGAGAGCUGGAGAGUGACCAGUGACCAGAGACAUUUGAAACAGGAAGCACCCCAGGACUGGUGAUGGCUACAGGUCUAGAUACGCAAACAACUGAAGAAAAGACAUCGCUGACUGCAAUUUUUUCUCGCUGAAUCAUUCCACCAGCUACUACUGUUCAGAUUCUUAAGUGGUAACACGAAAAGACAAGGCCUGGCACACUAGUGAAAAUGCAUCGUGAAAAAGGAAGUGGAAUGUGAAAUGCUGCAACCAGCAGUCACAUAUGCAAAACCAUCCGAAAGACUCAAAUUCUUUGGACCACAGUACCAUCUGUCAUAAACGGUUACUUUGAGGAUUGGAGAUAGUGAUUCAAAAGAAGAGCUGCUUACACAUGUAAAGAACAUGUAAAGAACGUUUGCUUGGGUUGACGUCCUGAUUUGAACUCAGGUCCUUCCAUUUUUUUUUUUAAAUAUUGCAUGCCUCUAGAUAGAAGAAAAACGGUUGGAGCUGACAGUUGUGAUAUAUGCUUAUUUAAUGUGGAACUGCUAGAGAAGGAGGACAAAACCUCAUUUAAAACUGGGCUGACAUUGGUUUUCCCAACAUAAAAAAA
Pelodiscus sinensis (Chinese soft-shelled turtle) is the source of this 897-nucleotide non-coding RNA. Lineage: Eukaryota; Metazoa; Chordata; Testudines; Trionychidae. The record is from RefSeq and is a predicted model, not a curated record.